GCUUGCUGAAUGAAAUGGGAAAAACACACACAUACUUAGGGAGUGUGUGUAAGGAGAGGAAUUUCAGGAUCAAGGGAUGCAAGUGGCAGGAUAAAGUAAUCUUUUCAAGUUUUGAAGCCCCCAUAUGCCUACAGGAAUACACUGCUUAGCAAGCCAUGCCAGGCAGUUGCCCCUGGAGCCACAUCACCAUGGCUGAAAACACCACAGGAGCGAUGGCCACAGACUCUGUGCACUGCUGAGCUCUGCUGGAGAAGGAUACAGAGAGAUGAACAAGGAAUUGGUGUUAUGAAAACUCACUGGAACAUUGGAAACAUGUGGAAUAUGGGAAAGAUGAGAAUAGAGUAGCCCAUUCUGGAAAGAAUUCUCAAAUGACACUUUGCUGAGCAAGAAGGCUUCUUUGAUGGGCUAAACGUUCCUGGGCAUGAGAAGGGGAGGAGGAACAGGAGAGGACAGAUGGUUCUCAUGGCAGGAAAAAGAUGACACCACUCUCAUUAUCCAAGAACAUCUUUGAUGGACACGUGUUACAUGGAAACAUCUUUGUUAUAUGCUUAGUUGGGGCACAAUAAUAAAUGCAAAUGGAUCGAGUGUCUUUCAUAACAUUCAGGACAAAUGCUGAAGAGCCCUGUUUAAACAGACAAACAAGCAAGAUCAAGAAACCACUGUUUAAGGUAAGUAGAAAGGACUUUUGAAUGAUUGAUCCUUUCAAUGAGUGGCUCCCUGUGGCUCCGAAUUGUUUAAUAAGAAUAUAAGAAUGAGACUCUUUCUUUUAAUAAGAAUAUAAGAAUGAGACCCCUACACAGUUUCUUCUCUGAGUGAGUCACCAAUAAUUAUGUAGGAAAGCAAGUUCAUCUCACAUUAUCUUGCUCUAUGCACAAAGCAGUCUAGAAAGAAUCCCAGACAGUAUCUACUGUAUCAUGUUUCACACCAGUCCUCAAAAUAACUCUGAAUAAAGUCAUAGAAAGAACCUGAACUGAGAAGACAGAAGUUAUUUCAAAAGCCUUUAGAUUCUGAGAAUCAGCUCUUCUGGCUUUGGUGUUUUUUGUUUUCCUCUGUGGAGCCAUUUCUAGAUGUGCCAUCUGCCCACAUAAUACAUACCGUUCAACAUUGCAGCUGCAAAGUAAAUGAGGGGCCAGGAUGAGGAGCAGAAGUUAACACCUUAAAACCAGAACCACCCUAGAAUCAAUGGUAAAUGGUUAAUGGCUAUGAUGUCUGGAGAAGUCUGUCAGGCCAGACAGAGAACUUGGGCAACAGAUACCCAAGGCUAAAGAGUAAGGACUAUCAGAAUGAACUGUAGAAAAGUAAUGGAGAACAAUUUGCAUGUACAUUUUUUUUUAAUGGGGAAGCUGUAGUAAGAGAGGGACACUUUCUCAAAUAUGAGUGAUGGGUACAUGUAUUCUAGCCAGACAGUGAUGUUUCAGUGGGUCAUUAUUAUGAGAAAAGAAUUAGGCUGGACAAGUUUGUGUGUCUAUUACCCAUGGGAUUCACAAAAAUAGGCUCUAGAGUUCAAUUAAAUAGCUAUCCUAUGGUAAAAUACUCACUGAUGCUUUUGUUCCAUGCUUUUCUUUUUUUCUUUUAAAAGUUUUUGCCUCCCUUUGGUAGCACAGGAUAGAUCUAGGUGUCAUCACUGUUGAACAUCAGAUAUUUCAAGCUUUCUCCAUAUUAGUCCUGCAGAGUAAGGUAUGAAGGAUAGAAUCAGGAUGGUGUCUGCUUCUUUUUGCACAAAAUCCUUUUAAAUUCUAUAAAUCCUGGUCUUGAAAUACUCUCCUGUGGAAAAUACCAAGAGAAAAAAAGAAAACCCCAGGGACAAAAUAAAGGAUGAGACAAAUGAUGGUGAUUUUUAAAUUAUGUUUUUCCCCCUUUGAAAGCUACAUAUCCUCAUACUCACUGUCCACUAAAAAUAUGUUUUGGCCUUUAAAUAAGUGAGUCAGAAUGCUAUCUGGAUAUGCCCCUUCCUCACAAUCAAGCUGUAAAUAUGUUGACUUUUGAAAAAGUUAUGCAUUUUGUACGUCAUUAUGUAAAUGUGGUCAUAGUCUUAGUGUUAAACAGACCUAUUUUCAGAAAAGACUUUCUAAAAUUCCUCCGCAAAAUUUAGCAAAUAAUUACCAAACAGUUUUGUCCCUCUAAAUACCUAUCUAAACAUUGAAACCCUUAAAUUUUCUGGUACAUGUAUGAGGCCUAAUACAAUCAAAUUUAUUUACUGCUCUUCCCUCUCCCCAUCUCAGAGAACAGAAAGCAAAAACACACAAAAAGAUUCCACUGAGACAAGAAUUACAUUCUUCCUCUAAUGACAGUUUGAGCAUGAUCUUUUGAAAUUGUGGUUUUGUUACUGAGUUUAAGCUUGUAUUGCUCCCCAGUGUGACAAGUCAAUAAAUCAAGAAACAAAUUAUUAGGGCAAGGAAUAGCCACCUUAUUUGGAAAGCCAGCAGAUUGAAGAGAUGUUGGACUAGUGUCUCAACCAUUUUUAUCUGAGUUAGAAUUAGGAAGCUUUUAUUACUAAAAGGUGAGGAGCAUGGCUGGUUGUUGUAAACUUCUGAAUACUGGAAUUCUUGUGGUCUUGCAACUGUCUAUACAUAUCUGGACACGGUGUUCUUAUAGAUAAGACAAUUGUUAUUUUCUGUUUUGCAACUUCUUAUUUCUAUGUGAAUGGAAAAUUGUGAUUCCUUGAAAGGUCAGAGCCUUGAGAAUGGUCUAUCAUUUAUAUUUCAGGCUGUAGGAAACAUUCUUUUACAAAGAGUCAGGGCCACUAUGGCCAAGUGAAGAUAGCCAAGCUCUUGCAAAGGUGGAAACCACGGGAAUGGGUCCAAUAUGGAGUCAGGUUUGUUCUUCUCUGUUACAGUUUUGCUGUAACAAGUGUUAUUGGAUCUUGGGUUAGUGAAUAUUAGAGAACAGGAAUACGGAUAAGGUGUUCAGUAGUCCAUCCUCCACACCUUCCAUACUUGGCCACAUUGAGAAAACUCAUUGGUCGUGACUGUAAAGUAGUAUAGCAUUAGGUUUCACAAACUUGAAGAAUAUGGUGGAUAAAAAAGAAUCAUGUAUCUUUUCCAAUUCUGUCUCUUACUAGCCUUGUGACUUAGAGUUUAAGUUUCCUAAUCUACUAAUGAGAGAUAACCUUUUUUUCUCUGAAAAGUUUUUUUUUUUUUGAAAAUUAAGGAUUCAAAGCAUUUAAACAUACUUACUCUAGAGCCUGGGACAGCCUAACUAACUGGUUAGUAGCUGUUGUUUAACUUUAUGUCCAGACAAAAAUUUAAUAUCCCUGUCCAAUAUGGUUAGUCUUUAAAACAAUUUUGUUUCAUUUUACAAGUGGAAAAAUAAUGUUACAGGAAAAUUGAUAGUUAGAAAAUUAUUCAAAUAGCUCCCUAUUAUUUAUUCCAUGACACGUAAAAAAAUUUAGAGUAUUUUUUCCAGCAUUUAUUCAUUAUCACAUAAUGUUCCAUUUUUUUUCUUGGUAAUCAUUCUGUACACACAGCUGGCAUACUCUUUUACAUACUGUUUUCUGUAUUGUUUCAUAACCAUGAAAUUUUGACAUCCACAGAAAGCUUCAUAUCACAAAAACACAUUUAAUAUUUAAAAUGUUUUCUUUUUGAAAUUUCAAAAAUUUACUUAAAACAAAUGUACUUGUAACAACUACCCUUAUGUAUCAAGUAAAAUGAGUUUAUUGAUUUAUACUAUGCAUGGAUUAGUAUAUCACAUCCUUGCUACAGAGCUUUUUAGUUUAUCUUUUCAGUGUAAAGCAAUUAAAGUUAUGUAGAGUUAAAAAUGUAUUAUGUUUGGAAUAUCUUGCAGAUAAAAUAAAUACCGAACAGAUAGCACAAAGCCCUGCAUACACUAACGAAUGCAUUGUAUAUGGCAAUGAUGGACUUAACCUGGAGGUAAAUUACUCAUCCUGCCUGAUUAUCUGAAAACAUUAACCAAGCAAAAGUAGUUGCUGAUAAUAUACAAUAUAUUUUCCAGCAGAUUUUUGUCCUUGAUAAGAGAUUUUGAUAAAUCUGUUUAUCAAAGACAAUUUUAUUUCUCUUCCCAUUCUUUUUAAAACACUAUCUAUGGAAGGAAUUCUUCAUCUAAGAUCCAUGGGCCAUGAUGGGAGUGGGGGUUAUGGAUGGAUACUGCUUAAAAUUGUGUCCAAAUCUAGGAUUUAUACCCGUGUGUUUUGGUCUCAGGAGAAUGACUGGACUUCAUAGGAUCUAGUGCUGAAUUUGGUGGUAUCUCACUUUACUUACAGCUGUAAAGUAAUGCACUCUAGAAUGAUCUGUAGGUUCUUUCUUGUGUUUGGAAGUGUGUGUGUGCAUGCUAAGUUUAGCCCUACCCUUCCUUUCUUAUCAGUAGGAAAGGAACUAGAGGGAUUUGGAGUGGGCUGUUGGAAAACAAACAAGAAAACCCCAAACCAGUGUCUUCCUCAGUGGCAGAAUGUCCAGGGCACAUGUUGUUCUUCACAUUUCUCUUCCUCGUAUUGAAACAAAAAUACAUAUGUUUCUCUUUGGAGGGACUCACAGCUUCCGAAAAUGAAGGGAAUGUGCCUAGUUAGCCAACAUCACCUUCUCUUCUCUAAACUUGCAAAAAGUUGAAUCUCAAAUCUAUACAUUGUAAACACUCCUUUCUUCUACUUAUUUUUAGGUUUUUAUUUUUCUAUUAUAGUUGAUUCUACAUUGUUUUGUCAGUUUCUGCUAUAUAGCAAAGUGACCCAGUCAUAUAUAUAUAUAUAUAUGCAUAUAUACAUUCACACAUAUAUACAUCCAUAUAUAUAUAUACAUUCACACACACACACAUAUAUAUACACAUUUCUUUUUCUCGCAUUAUCCUCCAUCAUGUUUUAUCACAAGUGGCUAGAUAUAGUUCCUAGUGCUACACAACAGGAUCUCAUCUACUCCAAAUGCAAUAGUUUACAUCUACUAACCCCUAACUCUCAGUCCAUCUCAUUCCCUCCCCCUUGGCAACCCCAAAUCUGUUCUCUAAGUCCAUGAUUUUAUUUCUCCUCUGUAGAUAGGUUCAUUUGUCCUGUAUAUUAAAUUCCAGAUAUAAGCAAUAUCAUAUGGUAUUUGUCUUUAUCCUUCUGACUUACUUCACUUAGUAUGAGAGUCAUCCAUGUUGCUACAAAUGGCAUUAUUUUGUUCUUUUUAUGGCUGAGUAGUAUUCCAUUGUGUAUAUAUACCACAUCUUCUUAAUCCAUUCAUCUGUCAAUGGACAUUUAAGUUGUUUCUAUGUCUUGUCUAUAGUGAAUCAUGCUCCAGUGAACAUAGGGGUGCAAGUAUCUUUUCCAGUGAAAGUUUUAUCCAAUUAUAUGCCCAAGAGUAGGAUUGCUGGGUCAUUUGGUAGUUCUAUAUUUAGUUUUCUGGGGUACCUCCAUACUGUUUUCCAUAGUGUUUGUACCAAUUUACAUUCCCACCAGCAGUGCAGGAGAGUGCUCUUUUCUCCACACCCUCUCCAGCAUUUGCUAUUUGUUGACUUGUUAAUGACGACCAUUCUGACUUUUGUGAGGUGGCACCUUGGGAAAAUAGGACAUCUACAUGUUAAUCAAUGAAACUAGAACACAGCCUCACACCAUGCAGAAAAAUAAAUUCAAAAUGGCUUAACAACUUAAACAUAGGACAAGACACAAAACUCCUAGAAGGGAACAUAGGCAAAACAUUCUCUGACAUCAGCCAUACAAAUAUUUUCUUAGGUCAGUCUCCCAAGGCAACAGAACUGAAAACAAACAAAAAAUCAGUGAGACCUAAUCAGUCUUCUACUUUUUGAAAUAAUAAUAUCUGUGCAUCUAUCUAUGAUUUCAUUUUUGUCUUUUCCAUUUCACAACAUUAAAAAUGUUUAAAUUGCUGAGUAUAUAAGGCUAUUUUCUAAAAUUCAAAGAAUUUGUCCUAUAUUUCUUGAACAUACAAUCAACCAGGAAACAUUAAUUUUUAUUUUAGUGCCUAAAAUUCCCAAAGCUGUGUCAGAUAAAACUAACAUGGGCAUGCCAAUGUUGGGCCAGGCACUGAGUUAAGAUUAGCAAAUUGUAGAGGCUUCUUCUUUCUUUUUUUAAAUUUAUAUAUUACUCAAUGAAUUUAUUAUAUCUAUAGUUGUACAAUGAUCAUCACAAUCCAGUUUUCCAUCCCACACCCACAGUGCUUCCCCCCCAGUGCUUCUCCCCAGUGCUUUCCAUCCUACACCCCGAGUGUUUCCCUAAACCUCUCUCUUUUGGAAACCAUAAGGUUUUCAAAGUCUGUGAGUCAGUAUCUGUUCUGCAAAGUUAAUUGUGGCCUUUUUUCAGAUUCCAUAUGUCAGUAAAGGCUUUUAAUAUUGGUGUCUCAUUGUCUGACUUCACUAUCACUAGCAUGAUAAUUUCUCUGUCCAUCAUGUUGCUAAAAAUGCCAUUAUUUCAUUUCUUUUGAUGGCUGAGUAAUAUUCCAUUGUGUAUAUGUACCACAUCUUUAUCCAAUCCUCUGUUGAUGGAUAUUUAGGUUGUUUCCAUGUCUUGGCUAUUGAAAAUAGUGCUGCAAUGAACAUUGGAGUACAUGUGUUUUUUCGAGUCAUGGUUUUCUCUGGAUAGAUGCCUAGGAGUGGGAUGGCUGGAUCAAAUGGUAGUUCCAUGUUUAGUUUUCUGAGGAAUCGCCAUACUGUUUUCAAUAGUGGUUGCCCCUAUUUACAAUCCCACCAACAGUGUAAUAGGGUUCCUUUUUCUUCACACCCUCUAUAGCACUUACUGUUUGUAGACUUUUUGAUGAUGGCCAUUCUGGCUUGGUGGAAGGUGGUACCUCAGAGUGGUUUUGAUUUGCAUUUCUCUAAUAAUGAGUGAUGUUGAACAUCUUGUCAUGUGUUUUUUGGCCAUCUGUAUGUCUUGUUUGGAGAACUGUCUGUUUAGAUCUUCUGCCCAUUUUUUGAUGGGGUUGUUUGUUUUUUUGGUAUUGAGCUGUAGGAGGUGUUCAUAAAUUUUUGAGAUUAUUCCCUUGUCAGUCAAUUCAUUUGCAAAUAUCUUCUCCCAUUCUGUGGGUUGUCUUUUCACACACACCUACAGUCAACUAAUCUAUGACCAAGGAGACAAGAAUAUACAAUGGAGAAAAGACAGCCUGUUCAAUAAGUGGUGCUUGGAAAACUGGACAGCCACAUGGAAAAGAAUGAAAUUAGAACACUCCCUAACACCAUACACAAACAUAAAUUCAAAAUGGAUUAAAGACCUAGAUAUAAGACCAGAUACUAUAAAACUCUUAGAGGAAAACAUAGGCCAAACGCUCUCUGACAUAAAUGACAACAACAUCUUCUCAGGUCCACCUAUUAGAGUAAUGACAGUAAAAACAUAAAUAAAUGGGACUUAAUUAAACUUAAAAGUUUCUUCACAGCAAAGGAAACCCUAAACAAAAUGAAAAGACAAUCUAUUUUAUUUCUUUAUUUUUUUAGGUCCUCACCCAUGGCAUAUGGAGGUUCCCAGGCUAGGGAUCCAGUCAAAGCUGUAGCCACCAGUCUACACCAGAGCCACAGCCACUGGGGAUCUGAGCCAUGUCUGUAAUCUACACCACAGCUCACAGCAAUGCCAGAUCCUUAAGCCACUGAGCAAGGCCAAGGAUCAAACCCACAUCCUCAUGGUUGCUAGUUGGGUUUGUUAACUACUGAGAGGCUUCUAUUUUCAAUGUUAUUUUAUUUACAGGGGAGGAAGCCCAGAGAUACUAGGUAACUUGCCAGAAACCUCAAAGCCAGUACCUGGUAAAACAGAGUUACUCCAGGUUUUUCUGAUUCUUAUGCCUUGACUCUUUCCAAAUUUUACCUUUUCCUUGAACAUACUAAAGAUUCUUUUAAGAUCACAUGGCAGAAAGUGCAUAUGCUGGUGUGCCCAAGGAAAUAAAAUGGGCAAAGCCUGAGGUGGUUAAACUGGUCUCAGUCAGGGCUGGAAACACACCACUGAGCAUAAGCCACCUUGGUCAAUUCAAUGUCGGUGUGUUGGGAAAAGCAAUUGUCUUAAAAGUCUACAAAGUAAUGCUUUAUUUACCUGAUCCAGGGCCUCUGAGUUAUGCAAAAGAAUACUCUAUAAAAGAAUCACAUCAUUGGUAUUUGAGAUGUGUUUAUUAUCUUGGCAAAUAGAUCUACUUAGAUACAAGGUUUGCUCUUCAAACUUGGACCUAGCCACACUUUGAUUUAUCUAAAAUAUCCCUCCAAAGUGAGAACUCAUUCACUCUUAAUGAUUCUCCUAUAAAUUUGUUUAUGGGUGAUUUCAGCUAUGAGGUGUCAACUGGGACACAGAUUUAAUGAACAUGGGUAGGGUAAAUCUUCCAUUACAGAGGACAAAUGAGGCAUUUUGUUCAAGACAAUUUACUAAGUAUGUCCUAUAUAAUGAGAUCUGCAUUGUAACAAAGCGAGCAUGUGUCUCCUGUUUGGUUUAGAAAAGAGCUGUAUCAGAGUUGGUGGAUGACCAUAGCAGCUUUUACAGUGGUGCUGUUGGUGUUGUAAUUUGACAAGCUUUCAGAAUAGCCUGGCGCCAGACUCACUUUUGUCAAUGCUAAAUUAAGGGUUCUUCAUAACUGGAAAGCAAUCACUUAUGUAAGCCAGCAUACAGAUCUAAGAAUGGUGGGGGGUGGGGAACUGCUGUAAUAACAAUGAUAAACACAAGGAGCUGCAAAAGGACAAACAUUAAUAUGUUAAAAAAAGACUUCAAAAUCCUAGAAUGUGGGGAAGGAAAGUAAAAUCUAAAGUCUUUUUUUUUUUUUUUUAAUAAUGUGUUUGAGACUUACGACUAUCAGGCUAAAGCAAGCAGAUACAGGAAGGGGUUAACAUACUUAAAAAACAGGGCAGCCACAAAUCAAAACCAAAUAUUACAUUCACAAAAACUAGAAAGAAAAGUACACAAGCAUAAAAUAAAUAGAAAUCAUCCAACCAAAAAAAAAAA
RNAcentral lists this long non-coding RNA (8845 nucleotides) under Sus scrofa (pig). Its description in RNAcentral is "lncRNA (ENSSSCG00040028168.1)". The record is from RNAcentral. Lineage: Eukaryota; Metazoa; Chordata; Mammalia; Artiodactyla; Suidae.